Molecule: ribosomal RNA, 301 nt
Filed under: uncultured bacterium
Lineage: Bacteria
Description: partial 16S ribosomal RNA
Rfam family: Bacterial small subunit ribosomal RNA
Source: RNAcentral
CAGCAGCCGCGGUAAUACGUAGGGUGCAAGCGUUAAUCGGAAUUACUGGGCGUAAAGCGUGCGCAGGCGGUUAUAUAAGACAGAUGUGAAAUCCCCGGGCUCAACCUGGGAACUGCAUUGUGACUGUAUAGCUAGAGUACGGCAGAGGGGGAUGGAAUUCCGCGUGUAGCAGUGAAAUGCGUAGAUAUGCGGAGGAACACCGAUGGCGAAGGCAAUCCCCUGGGCCUGUACUGACGCUCAUGCACGAAAGCGUGGGGAGCAAACAGGAUUAGAUACCCCCGUAGUCCCUGUCUCUUAUACA